RNAcentral lists this small RNA (28 nucleotides) under Bombyx mori (domestic silkworm). Its description in RNAcentral is "ovarian small RNA-24713". The record is from RNAcentral. Lineage: Eukaryota; Metazoa; Arthropoda; Insecta; Lepidoptera; Bombycidae.
UCAAGAUGACUGCGCACCAAGGUUUGGU